GACCUACACCCCUCAAAUAUCGAAAAACAUACGGUUAAAUAGAUACUGAGUUGGUCUAACCUAGGUCGGUCGCARACAUUUGUUGAAAGCUUUCAAACUAUGAUUUGGUUCUUUUUGGGCUAUUAGCUCAGGUGGUUAGAGCGCACCCCUGAUAAGGGUGAGGUCCCUGGUUCGAGUCCAGGAUGGCCCACCUGAAAGUAAUUAGUAAUUGCUAAUUCGUAAUUCGUAAUUAACUACGAAUUAAGAAUUACGAAUUACGAAUUAUAAUCUGGGGGUUUAGCUCAGUUGGUAGAGCGCCUGCUUUGCAAGCAGGAUGUCAGCGGUUCGAGUCCGCUAACCUCCACCUGUAGCGAUUGCCAGAAUAAAAGACUAGUGAGAGUUCAGCAACAUGACAAAAUGAUUGUCAGACUGCUGAGUGAGUUCUCAGCCAGAACCUUGAAAACUGCAUAGUAACGCGAAAUUAGCAGGCAGACACAGACAUUGAGAGUUCUAAGUGCUGAAUGCUGAGUACUGAGUCAAAUCAGUGCAAAGUGAGGAAGUAAGGAGAACUAACAAAAGAAGUGAAUGCAAAUGUAACACCAAA
Molecule: transfer RNA, 583 nt
Filed under: Nostocaceae cyanobacterium Baduki 3
Lineage: Bacteria; Bacillati; Cyanobacteriota; Cyanophyceae; Nostocales; Nostocaceae
Description: partial contains 16S-23S ribosomal RNA intergenic spacer and 23S ribosomal RNA
Source: RNAcentral